ACAUUUUCAAAAUCAAUUUGCAGAGAACGAAAAAAAAAGGAAAAAAGAGAAAAACGAACAAACUCUCCCUUUCAUCUCUAUUCUCACACACCGUGCUUACAGCUUUGAGCUUUCUACAUCAAAGAAAUGGCUGAAACCCUGAGCCCAAACCCGAAGCAGAGGGGACCCUUCUCCCCUUCAAGCCCUUUCUUCUUGGGCUCCAACAACGACAAACUUGAACGCGCUCAGGCACGCGCCGCUCGAGCCGCCGCCGUUCGCCGGAAACCUGUCGCCCUUACGACUGCAACUUCUCCCAAGGCGGAUACAUUGCUCGGAAAAGAACAGAUCAUCGAAUUGUUUCAGAAUUGCAUCAAACUAGCCAGCGAAAACAAAAUUAAUCAGAAGAACACUUGGGAACUGAAUUUGAUAGAUCAUCUUUACGAGAUCGUUAAAGUCGAAGAAGAGAAUGACGUGGAAACCAAUUUUCAGAAGGCAAGUUGUACCCUUGAAGCUGGAGUUAAGAUUUAUUCAAUGAGGGUGGAUUCAGUUCAUUCAGAGGCAUAUAAGGUUCUUGGAGGAAUUAAUCGUGUCGGGCAAGAGGAUGAACAAGAUAAUGUCAUGGAGAAUGCCAAUAUUGAUAAUGAGCAAGAGGAAGGCCACUCAAAGAAACAGCAAGAAAGAAAGUUGUCACCUUUGUCCACACUGGAGUCAUCUUUCGAGGCUCUAAACGUGAAGAAGUUUGAUGUUGCCUUUGUGGUGGAUCCUCUCUACCAUCAGACAUCUGCACAGUUCGAUGAAGGUGGGGCAAAGGGUCUUUUGCUGAACAAUCUUGGAGUAUAUGGUAACUGCCGAGUGCUAUUUGAUUCUCUGGAAGUACCUGGGCGGUGCUCAUCUUUUGAGGCUGAAGGUGACGGCAAUGAGAAAAUUGAUGUAUCUUUUGCUGGAGAAUGCAUCGAACAAAUGGUACUGGACAUGCCUAAGAAGAAUGAAAUAUCACCCAGUCUUAGGGCUAUAUUCGAUCUAUUUGACGAAGAUAAGCAAGAACUAUCUGAACCAUUCUCUUCAGGACAAAGUUGUUCUGGGCUAGUUUUCCAAACUGCCGAUAGUAAUAAUGAGGAAGAUAGUGAUGCAUUUGGGAAUUUUGGAACUUGGGGCUUGGAUCAUGAUGACCAAGCAAGUGUGGUAGACGAAGGAUCUUAUGAUCACGAUCAAAUUUUACCAAGCCAACCGGAGGAUAAUAAACAUUUUAUUUUUGAUGACCUUGACGAGGAUAAUAAUCCCGAGAAUGUUGAUGGCUAUUUAUUUUCAAGUUUGGGAUUUGCAUCAAAGAAAAAUGCCUGGGCGGGUCCAGAUCAUUGGAAGUAUCAGAAGGGUAAAGAUUCUAAAGAUCCAGCAAAGGAUAAUGGAUUACCAACGACCAAGAAAGCAAAAAACAGAAAAGCAGAAUCUGACAUUAAGUUGUCAAAUGUCUUGGACACUGAUGCAUCAGAUAUCUUUGCUCCUCCAAAGAACCCCAAGUCCCUGUUCCUGCCAACAAAUAGAGCACCCUGUAACACUAAACUUCCAGAAGACUGCCAUUACCAACCAGAGAAUCUCGUGAAGCUAUUUCUGUUACCUCAUGUUACGUGCAUCAGAAGGAGAGGAAGCAAGACAACAGAUGAAGUAAGUCAACAGAGAGAUGAAUAUGGAGAAAUGCCAUCAUGGGAUGAUGAAGGUGGUUUUGGAGGCACAUUUGAUGAUGGAAAUUCUUAUAGUGAUGUUGAUGAGUCAAGCACUUUGGUUUCUCAACCUCGACAGAUUAGUAAGAUUGAAGUUCAGUUCGAUAAAACAUCUAAACAAGUUGAUGUUCACUCACUUAAAGAAACUCUGUGGGACCAUAUGCAGAAAUUAAAUGAAACUUCAAUUCAGGAUGAAACAGUGUCUUUCAGGCAAGCCUUGGCCAGUUUCCCAGAUGAGUGCAAAGCAGCAUCAGUUAACGACAUAUCUCCACAUUUGUGCUUCAUAUGCCUAUUGCAUCUAGCUAAUGAGCACGGAUUGUCGAUUCAUGGCUCUCCCAGCUUGGAUGAUCUCAGCAUACAACUUAAAUGACAUGCUAUAAUGUCCCAGCUUGGUUGAUCUCCACAUUCAAAGGGAAUCAUAUUCCACUAUAGCAAUCUGAGCUUUCCAAUCUCUGACUAGUGUUGCACUUGGAUCUCCAAACUUCAGUAUGGAGCAUUUAAGUCUCCAAUCUUUCAUUUUGUUAGCACUUAGUUUUCAUUUCAAUGGACGAUGGUAAUUAUAUUUACACCAUAAUUUUUAUUUGUUGCACCAUAUGUUGAUUGACCUUAACGUUCUCAACG
This is an RNA transcript of Olea europaea var. sylvestris, 2318 nucleotides long. It is a transcript of the gene named condensin complex subunit 2, with no coding region annotated. Lineage: Eukaryota; Viridiplantae; Streptophyta; Magnoliopsida; Lamiales; Oleaceae. The transcript has 14 exons. The record is from RefSeq and is a predicted model, not a curated record.